Molecule: non-coding RNA, 114 nt
Filed under: Tripos fusus
Lineage: Eukaryota; Dinophyceae; Gonyaulacales; Ceratiaceae
Source: RNAcentral
GCUCCCCUCGCCGUGGAGAAGGUCUGGGGCAUGGGCCCAGAAGGCGCUCUCGCAGCGGGCACGUCGAUGGAUCGCCGAGGCAGCAGCGAGCCGCUGUGUCGCCGAGGCGGAAAC